CUUACUAUAGAUUAUAAGUCUUCAAGUGAUUGUAAUUGGGAAGAAAUAUGAAGAGAUUGAUUCAUGGUAUAUGCUUGCUCUUGUGGCUGCAGCUGAACUGGGUGAGUGAAGGAGAGAAGCUGGAGCAGGGUCCGUCUAUCCUGAGCAUGCAGGAGGGAGACAGCUGUGUCAUCAACUGUACUUAUUCAGACAGUGCUUCAGACUACUUUCUUUGGUACAAGCAAGAACCAGGACAGGGUCUUCAGCUCAUUAUAAACAUUCUUUCAAAUAGAGACAAAAUUGAAAAUGACAAAUUCCUUGUGUUUUUGAAAAAGAAGAACAAACACUUCUCCCUGCACAUCAAAGAUGCACAGCCUGGGGACUCGGCAGUCUACUUCUGUGCAGCAAGAACACAUUGCUCCUCAGGCACCUGCAGCCUGUCUUCAAACUUGCCACCAAGACUGGAGCUCCAGCCCAUACUUUGCCACAGACCUUCUUGCACAGCAUUUGCCAAUUGUUUGCAAGUAGCAGCUAACACACAAACAUUUAGGUCUAAGGAGACCCUGACAGGAAAUUUCAUUGAAAAUUAA
Non-coding RNA from Dipodomys spectabilis (banner-tailed kangaroo rat), 569 nucleotides. NCBI's taxonomy places the organism in Eukaryota, Metazoa, Chordata, Mammalia, Rodentia, Heteromyidae. The record is from the annotation of a RefSeq genome assembly.